RNAcentral lists this ribosomal RNA (443 nucleotides) under uncultured bacterium. RNAcentral describes it as "partial 16S ribosomal RNA". It matches the Rfam family "Bacterial small subunit ribosomal RNA", at positions 338 to 795 of the family's 1533-position model. The record is from RNAcentral.
CCUACGGGCGGCUGCAGUGGGGAAUAUUGGGCAAUGGGCGCAAGCCUGACCCAGCAACGCCGCGUGAAGGAAGAAGGCUUUCGGGUUGUAAACUUCUUUUAUUGAGGACGAAACACAUGACGGUCCUCCAUGAAUAAGCCACGGCUAACUACGUGCCCGCAGCCGCGGCAAUACGUAGGUGGCAAGCGUUAUCCGGAUUUACUGGGUGUAAAGGGCGUGUAGGCGGGACUGUAAGUCAGAUGUGAAACCCAUGGGCUCAACCCAUGGCCUGCAUUUGAAACUGUAGUUCUUGAGUGAUGGAGAGGCAGGCGGAAUUCCGGGUGUAGCGGUGAAAUGCGUAGAUAUACGGAGGAACACCAGUGGCGAAGGCGGCCUGCUGGACAUUAACUGACGCUGAGGCGCGAAAGCGUGGGGAGCAAACAGGAUUAGAUACCCGAGUAGUC